This 73-nucleotide transfer RNA is filed under the name Minisyncoccota bacterium. Its description in RNAcentral is "tRNA-Thr". It matches the Rfam family "tRNA". Rfam says of the family: Transfer RNA (tRNA) molecules are approximately 80 nucleotides in length. The record is from RNAcentral. Lineage: Bacteria; Bacillati; Minisyncoccota.
GCCCGGGUAGCUCAGUCGGUAGAGCGCACCCAUGGUAAGGGUGAGGUCGGCGGUUCAAUCCCGCCCUCGGGCU